RNAcentral lists this ribosomal RNA (763 nucleotides) under uncultured bacterium. RNAcentral describes it as "bacterial SSU rRNA". It matches the Rfam family "Bacterial small subunit ribosomal RNA", at positions 129 to 896 of the family's 1533-position model. The record is from RNAcentral.
CCUUCAAGCGGGGAUAGCCCAGGGAAACUGGAUUAAUACCCCAUAAGAUAGUUGAGUGGCAUCAAUUGACUAUUAAAGUUACGACACUUGAAGAUGGGCGUGCGGCUGAUUAGGUAGUGGCGGGGUAACGGCCCACCAAGCCGACGAUCAGUAACUGGUGUGAGAGCACGACCAGUCACACGGGCACUGAGACACGGGCCCGACUCCUACGGGAGGCAGCAGUAAGGAAUAUUGGUCAAUGGACGCAAGUCUGAACCAGCCAUGCCGCGUGGAGGAUGAAGGCCCUCUGGGUUGUAAACUUCUUUUAUUGGGGAAGAAAUCGGUGUUUUCUAAUGCCGUUGACGGUACCCGAUGAAUAAGCACCGGCUAACUCCGUGCCAGCAGCCGCGGUAAUACGGAGGGUGCAAGCGUUAUCCGGAUUCACUGGGUUUAAAGGGUGCGUAGGUGGGCAGGUAAGUCAGUGGUGAAAUCUCCGGGCUUAACCCGGAAACUGCCGUUGAUACUAUCUGUCUUGAAUGUAGUGGAGGUGAGCGGAAUAUGUCAUGUAGCGGUGAAAUGCUUAGAGAUGACAUAGAACACCAAUUGCGAAGGCAGCUUGCUACACUACGAUUGACACUGAGGCACGAAAGCGUGGGGAUCAAACAGGAUUAGAUACCCUGGUAGUCCACGCCCUAAACGAUGGAUACUCGACAUCAGCGAUACACAGUUGGUGUCUGAGCGAAAGCAUUAAGUAUCCCACCUGGGAAGUACGACCGCAAGGUUG